Molecule: ribosomal RNA, 1414 nt
Filed under: uncultured Bordetella sp.
Lineage: Bacteria; Pseudomonadati; Pseudomonadota; Betaproteobacteria; Burkholderiales; Alcaligenaceae
Description: partial 16S-23S ribosomal RNA intergenic spacer
Rfam family: Bacterial small subunit ribosomal RNA
Source: RNAcentral
AGUCGAACGGCAGCACGGACUUCGGUCUGGUGGCGAGUGGCGAACGGGUGAGUAAUGUAUCGGAACGUGCUAGUAGCAGAGGAUAGCUACGCGAAAGCGUAGCCAGCUGCCGCCCUUCAGGGGAAAGCGGGGACCUUCGGGCCUCGCACUAUUGGAAACGGCCGAUAUCAGUUAGCUAGUUGGUGGGGUAACGGCUCACCAAAGGCGACGAUCCAUGUAGCUGGUUUGAGAGGACGACCAGCCACACUGGGACUGAGACACGGCCCAGACUCCUGGGGAGGCAGCAGUGGGGAAUUUUGGACAAUGGGGAAAACCUGAUCCAGCCAUCCCGCGUGUGCGAUGAAGGCCUUCCGGGUUGUAAAGCACUUUUGGCAGGAAAGAAACGGCACGGGAUAAUACCCGAUGCAAGCUGACGUACCUGCAGAAUAAGCACCGGCUAACUACGUGCCAGCAGCCGCGGUAAUACGUAGGGUGCAAGCGUUAAUCGGAAUUACUGGGCGUAAAGCGUGCGCGGUUCCGGAAAAGAUGUGAAAUCCCAGAGCUUAACUUUAGACACAUUUUUAACUGUUAAAACUCGAAGUGCUUCUGUCGGAGAAUUCCCUGGAAUUCCCGUGUAGCAGUGAAAUGCGUAGAUAUGCGGAGGAACACCGAUGGCGAAGGCAGCCUCCUGGGAUAACACUGACGCUCAUGCGACCGUGGAGCAAACAGGAUUAGAUACCCUGGUAGUCCACGCCUAAACGAUGUCAACUAGCUGUUGGGGCCUUCGGGCCUUGGUAGCGCAGCUAACGCGUGAAGUUGACCGCCUGGGAGGUACGGUCGCAAGAUUAAAACUCAAAAGGAAUUGACGGGGACCCGGCGGUGGAUGAUGUGGAUUAAUUCGAUGCAACGCGAAAAACCUUACCUACCCUUGACAUGUCUGGAAUCCGAAGAGAUUUGGGAGUGCUCGCAAGAGAACCAGUUCAGGUGCUGCAUGGCUGUCGUCAGCUCGUGUCGUGAGAUGUUGGGUUAAGUCCCGCAACGAGCGCAACCCUUGUCAUUUAUCGUUACUACGAAAGGGCACUCUAAUGAGACUGCCGGUGACAAACCGGGAAGGUGGGGAUGACGUCGAGUCCUCAUGGCCCUUAUGGGUAGGGCUACGUCAUACAAUGGUCAGGACGAAGGUCGUAACCCGCGAGGAGCCAAUCCCAGAAACCCGAUCGUAGUCGGAUCGCAGUCUGCAACUCGACUGCGUGAAGUCCGGAAUCGCUGGCGUAAUCUGCGGAUCAGCAUGUCGCGGUGUGAAUACGUUCCCGGAACAGCGCUACCGCACCGCCCGUCACACCAUGGGAGUGGGUUUUACCAGAAGUAGUUAGCCUAACCGUAAGGGCGAUUACCGUUCAGGAUUCAUGACUGGGGUGAAGUCGUAACAAGGUAG